AUUUUCACUGGCAGUUCUGGCAGCACGCGCUCGGCUACAACCGGUUGCUAGGAGACGCUGCGUUUCAGUUUCCGAGGUAAAAAAGCUCAAGUUAUUUUUCAGACAGUACAAUUUUAUUUGAAGUGCAUUUUCAAGACGGGAAUACAUUAAUGAAAAGGUAAUACACUUUUAAAUGUUUUGUUAAGAUAUGUUGUGUCACAACUUGUUGAGCAACUAGCUGGCUAACUAUAUAACGUAUAACUUUUUGUCUUUAUAAAUAGCACGAACGUGUAAAGAUAAGGUAUAAUGAUUAUCUAAUACGAGAAAGAAUUGAAAAUUAGGAUAAAUUAUACAACAUUACAAAAUUCAAUUAAUAGAACUGAACUAAGACAUGUAAGCUGAUUGACGUUAUUUUUAUUAAGACGUAAAAAUUAUUUUACAAAUAUUUUGCAGAUCAAACAUUAACUCUUUGUCCAGUCUUGAGACAAAUGCUGAAGCAAAUAUUUAUAGAAAUGAGGCAAAAAGUGUGUUUUCCCCAAUGUUAAGCAUAUUUGGAUUAAAAAAAAAAAAACCUUUAAUAUGAUUUACUGUUUUUGUUUCCUAGGAUUACCAAUAUAUGAAGCACCUUUAUGAAACCAAUCAGAAGAGAAGAAGGCUUCUUUCUUACCUUGCCAGGUGAGCCCUGUCAUCACAGAUUUCCCCCGCAUCCUGACAAAACCCAGCUGUGUUGGGUCUCAAAUAGACUUUCACUUUCCUCUUCUCUGCAAACUGCCCCCUAAAUCCAUGUCUCAACAAAGACCUACAGAAUGAGCCGGGGUCAGAGCACAAGCCCAAACAUUUCCUCCUUAGAUAAAUCAGUGAACACAAUGCCUCUUCCAAAACUUAAAGCCAGGCGUGGGAUUGUCAGAAAGCCCAUCGUAGCCUCUCUCGCAGGGACCACCAAAGCAGUAUCCUUGUCCCAAAGGCCGCAACCUCCUGCUAAGCCCAGAUCAGAGAGGCCUUUAUCAGCAGGUGGAUCUUACAAACCUCGCACACUUGCUCAGCAGGUUUCAGGUGAGGAGAAGAAAACCUCCAGCACUCAUCCGUCCACUUUCUUCGGAGGACAGAACCGGCUGGAUUUGGGCAGUUGUAAUGACAACGGGGUGUCAGGCUCUGUGAAUACAGCACAGAAUGGGAAUAGACGAGCACAGAGAGGAAAGAGUGAAAAAUUUGGGGAGCCUCAUAAACAUCAAACUCUCUCCAAACACAGCAGUUCCCAGAGUCACACCAGCAGCAUCCAGAGCGUCAAAUCCACCUCUGAGCUGCUGGUGGAAGCCAGACUUAUUGCUGGACUCGAACUGCCAGAUGAGGUUGACCAGCAGAGGGCGCCAAAUGAGACCCUGGCAGACACAACAGGGAUGGAAAGUGGGCACACAAAGGAUGAUAGUGGUGCAACUUUCUCUCACCAAAGAUUUUUACAUUCUAUGGAAAGCGAAGAUGGACACAGGUGCAGCCCUGAUUAUAAGGGGCCAACUCAAAGAGACACCUCAGCACCACAAGAGAAAUGUUCCCCAAGACCAAUGUGCCGUCCACCUGUGUCAUCUGGUGUCUACAAGAUGGCUCAGUCAGUUUUACAGAAGUAUUCUGUCAGUGGAGGAGUCAAGGAUCUCUUAUCCCAAGUGACCAAUGAAGAUAUAAUAAUGGCCCGUGGAUGUAGCUUGACUCCGUUUCAGAGACCAGAAAGGACAUCCCAUCAGACCAAAACUAUUCAAGUGCAGAAGGGAAUAGAACCAUCCACCAUUUGUGUACCACUCCUGCUAGUCAAGUCAUGCCUGUUGAGUUACAGCUUGCUUCUAGAAUCUGCCACAUUCAAAACCUGACCACUGCAACAGCACAGUUUAACCAGCAGAGGACAGCACUUGGACAUAAAUCUCAUCCUGAAAAGAAGAGGCUGUUAUGUGAAGGUGUUUCUGUUGAUUCUACUGGGGUUUCAGCACAGACAGACUGUGUUUCCCAUAUGCCUAAACAGACGUCAGAUGUUCAGGAGGACUGGCAGACAAUGGCAGAGUAUUACAUGGCAACAUUGUGUCCCAGUGAGCUCAGAAUGUUCUGGAACCCAGCACCUCCUAAAUUCAUCUGUGCCCACUUUGUUAUGAAAGACACACUUUUCCCCAAAUACCAGAUAAAACUGGCACACCUGUGCAAAGAGAAUCUGUUGGAUGAGCUGCACAAUGUGGUGGAGUCAGUUAGCCAUGUGAUGGACACAGAACAGGCUACUUCUGAGGUUUUUUUAUUUAAAGAGAAUGUCUAA
Molecule: long non-coding RNA, 2269 nt
Organism: Cyprinus carpio (common carp)
Lineage: Eukaryota; Metazoa; Chordata; Actinopteri; Cypriniformes; Cyprinidae
Source: Ensembl